Molecule: long non-coding RNA, 114 nt
Organism: Melitaea cinxia (Glanville fritillary)
Lineage: Eukaryota; Metazoa; Arthropoda; Insecta; Lepidoptera; Nymphalidae
Exons: 3
Source: RefSeq, a predicted model, not a curated record
UGGCAUAGUUCAAACUAACUUAGGAGGGUCACAAAGCGGUUCUGGUAAUUUACUUAAUAACGUAGCUGGCAUCGCACAAAGCAAUAUUCAGCAGGGACAACAGGGUGGAAUUGG